Molecule: long non-coding RNA, 379 nt
Organism: Pantherophis guttatus
Lineage: Eukaryota; Metazoa; Chordata; Lepidosauria; Squamata; Colubridae
Source: RefSeq, a predicted model, not a curated record
GGGAGAUUCAGUUGCUUGCUGAUGCAUGGAUUACGAUCGUCAUGGAUCAGCAGCUAAGAUUGUACCAUGAGGAAAGCAAGCAAUCCCAAUAUUUGUAGAGUGGCAGCCGGUACUAUUAGGCAGAAGUAUUAGAUGAUCCAGUACUGGUACAUAUUUCGGUUCUGGAAGACAGCAGUAACUCCUCUUCUUGGCUUACAUCAUGAAAUACAGAGAGGACCAUUUCCUUCACCCCUGAAGAACUUGGAAGAGGAUAACUCGGGCUUAGUAUUUUGGUGUCUGGUAUAUCAUUACGAUUUGAGAAGACAAAAUCUUGACUAGGUGGGGAUCCUGUUAUGUAUUCUGGGAAUUCAUUAAUAAAAAAUGAAGAAACUGAACCAAA